CCCUUAGAUGUUCUGGGCCGCACGCGUGCUACACUGAGUAAUUCAAUGGGUAAGGGAACGCUAGAGCAUUACCUAAUCUUGAAAUUUGCUCGUGAUGGGGAUCGACGGUUGCAAUUUUCCGUCGUGAACGAGGAAUACCUUGUAGGCGCAUGUCAUCAUCAUGCGCCGAAUACGUCCCUGCCCUUUGUACACACCGCUCGUCGCUCCUACCGAUUGAGUGAUCCGGUGAGGCUCUGGGACCUGGACGGAAAGAGCGUUUCGCUUGUUCUGUUUGGGAAACUUGGUCGAACCUUAUCAUUUAGAGGAAGGAGAAGUCGUAACA
RNAcentral lists this ribosomal RNA (322 nucleotides) under uncultured eukaryote. RNAcentral's name for it is "partial 18S ribosomal RNA". It matches the Rfam family "Eukaryotic small subunit ribosomal RNA", at positions 1470 to 1796 of the family's 1831-position model. The record is from RNAcentral.